Molecule: long non-coding RNA, 356 nt
Organism: Nothoprocta perdicaria
Lineage: Eukaryota; Metazoa; Chordata; Aves; Tinamiformes; Tinamidae
Exons: 3
Source: RefSeq, a predicted model, not a curated record
UUAUUUAUUAUUUGAAAUUAUUAUCAAUCAUUUCUUAGGCAACUCCAAAGAGAGCAAGAACAUCUCCCAAGCCACAUGGAUUUUUAUAAGCUCAAAGAAUGGCUGACUUUAGUGCUCAAACAGUGGCUGACUUGAGCUUUCUCAAAUUCAUUAGGCCACAGUUUCAGGUACCAGUGGUGACAUGAAGUGAUGACAUCCUGAUCGUUGGAGCCUGCCUAAUUUAGAAGCUUGAGAKGUGCUUUUGUGAAGCUGUUUUUAGAAGAUGAGGUUGCCAGAACUUGGUAUGUCCUCUCCUUGAACACUUCAGCACUCCAAGGAUUCAGUGAACCAGGUAAGCCUGACCACCRUUGCUCUGC